This 538-nucleotide ribosomal RNA is filed under the name uncultured bacterium. RNAcentral describes it as "bacterial SSU rRNA". It matches the Rfam family "Bacterial small subunit ribosomal RNA", at positions 102 to 674 of the family's 1533-position model. The record is from RNAcentral.
ACGGGUGAGUAACGCGUGGGAACGUGCCCUUCGGUUCGGAAUAACUCAGGGAAACUUGAGCUAAUACCGGAUACGCCUUUAUGGGGAAAGGCUUGACUGCCGAAGGAUCGGCCCGCGUCUGAUUAGCUAGUUGGUGAGGUUAUGGCUCACCAAGGCGACGAUCAGUAGCUGGUCUGAGAGGAUGAUCAGCCACACUGGGACUGAGACACGGCCCAGACUCCUACGGGAGGCAGCAGUGGGGAAUAUUGGACAAUGGGGGCAACCCUGAUCCAGCCAUGCCGCGUGAGUGAUGACGGCCUUAGGGUUGUAAAGCUCUUUUCUCCGGGACGAUAAUGACGGUACCGGAGGAAUAAGCCCCGGCUAACUUCGUGCCAGCAGCCGCGGUAAUACGAAGGGGGCUAGCGUUGCUCGGAAUCACUGGGCGUAAAGGGCGCGUAGGCGGCUGAUUUAGUCGAGGGUGAAAGCCCGUGGCUCAACCACGGAAUGGCCUUCGAUACUGAUUGGCUUGAGACCGGAAGAGGACAGCGGAACUGCGAGU